RNAcentral lists this ribosomal RNA (490 nucleotides) under uncultured bacterium. RNAcentral's name for it is "bacterial SSU rRNA". It matches the Rfam family "Bacterial small subunit ribosomal RNA", at positions 341 to 847 of the family's 1533-position model. The record is from RNAcentral.
ACGGGAGGCAGCAGUGGGGGAUAUUGCACAAUGGGGGAAACCCUGAUGCAGCGACGCCGCGUGGAGGAAGAAGGUUUUCGGAUUGUAAACUCCUGUCGUUAGGGACGAUAAUGACGGUACCUAACAAGAAAGCACCGGCUAACUACGUGCCAGCAGCCGCGGUAAAACGUAGGGUGCAAGCGUUGUCCGGAAUUACUGGGUGUAAAGGGAGCGCAGGCGGACCGGCAAGUUGGAAGUGAAAACUAUGGGCUUAACCCAUAAAUUGCUUUCAAAACUGCUGGCCUUGAGUAGUGCAGAGGUAGGUGGAAUUCCCGGUGUAGCGGUGGAAUGCGUAGAUAUCGGGAGGAACACCAGUGGCGAAGGCGACCUACUGGGCACCAACUGACGCUGAGGCUCGAAAGCAUGGGUAGCAAACAGGAUUAGAUACCCUGGUAGUCCAUGCCGUAAACGAUGAUUACUAGGUGUUGGAGGAUUGCACCCCUUCAGUGCC